This 332-nucleotide ribosomal RNA is filed under the name uncultured eukaryote. Its description in RNAcentral is "partial 18S ribosomal RNA". It matches the Rfam family "Eukaryotic small subunit ribosomal RNA", at positions 1470 to 1796 of the family's 1831-position model. The record is from RNAcentral.
CCCUUAGAUGUUCUGGGCUGCACACGUGCUACACUGGCAGGUUCAGCGAGCUUCAUGCCCUGAUCUGAUAGGAAUGGGAAAUCUUUUCAAAACCUGCCGUGCUUGGGAUAGAUGUUUGCAAUUAUUCAUCUUCAACGAGGAUUGCCUUGUAAGCGCACGUCAUCAGCGUGCAUUGAAUACGACCCUGUAUUCUGUACACACCGCCCGUCGCUCCUACCGAUUGAAGUUUUCGGUGAGUUGACAGGAGGAUUUUUUUGAAACUGGUUCGCCAGUGGAUUUUAGAUCCAAAUGCCAACGAAUCGAUGGCUUUAGAGGAAGGAGAAGUCGUAACA